Molecule: ribosomal RNA, 513 nt
Filed under: Enterococcus faecium
Lineage: Bacteria; Bacillati; Bacillota; Bacilli; Lactobacillales; Enterococcaceae
Description: bacterial SSU rRNA
Rfam family: Bacterial small subunit ribosomal RNA
Source: RNAcentral
GCUCAGGACGAACGCUGGCGGCGUGCCUAAUACAUGCAAGUCGAACGCUUCUUUUUCCACCGGAGCUUGCUCCACCGGAAAAAGAGGAGUGGCGAACGGGUGAGUAACACGUGGGUAACCUGCCCAUCAGAAGGGGAUAACACUUGGAAACAGGUGCUAAUACCGUAUAACAAUCGAAACCGCAUGGUUUUGAUUUGAAAGGCGCUUUCGGGUGUCGCUGAUGGAUGGACCCGCGGUGCAUUAGCUAGUUGGUGAGGUAACGGCUCACCAAGGCCACGAUGCAUAGCCGACCUGAGAGGGUGAUCGGCCACAUUGGGACUGAGACACGGCCCAAACUCCUACGGGAGGCAGCAGUAGGGAAUCUUCGGCAAUGGACGAAAGUCUGACCGAGCAACGCCGCGUGAGUGAAGAAGGUUUUCGGAUCGUAAAACUCUGUUGUUAGAGAAGAACAAGGAUGAGAGUAACUGUUCAUCCCUUGACGGUAUCUAACCAGAAAGCCACGGCUAACUCGGG